RNAcentral lists this ribosomal RNA (249 nucleotides) under uncultured bacterium. RNAcentral's name for it is "partial 16S ribosomal RNA". It matches the Rfam family "Bacterial small subunit ribosomal RNA", at positions 57 to 305 of the family's 1533-position model. The record is from RNAcentral.
GCAAGUCGAGCGGUAACAGAGAUAGCUUGCUAUCUGCUGACGAGCGGCGGACGGGUGAGUAAUGCUUGGGAAUAUGCCUUUGGUGGGGGACAACUGUUGGAAACGACAGCUAAUACCGCAUAACGUCUACGGACCAAAGUGGGGGACCUUCGGGCCUCACGCGCAGAGAUUAGCCCAAGUGGGAUUAGCUAGUUGGUAAGGUAAUGGCUCACCAAGGCGACGAUCCCUAGCUGGUUUGAGAGGAUGAUC